ACCCGUGCAUAGGUCCAUUGAUGUACCCGACCACAGCCAGAUUGCUAGAAAAACUGACAGCCAUGUUUGUUUAUCGCAAUCAGCAGCAGUUUAGAAAUUAUUUAGCUCCCAAACUUUGCUUAUUGAUUACAUUUGUAGUACAAAAUGUCUGUUUAUCACUCAACACUGUUGGCAAAGCACGUCCCUAAUAUGAAGAAAAUUGUGCUUCAUUGCAGCAUCCGACCAGGGGGCAUGGAGGUUUCUAUUUGUCUCUGAUCCGACCGAACAUCCAGCGGAAUCAUCUAUCAGCAGAACAUUCGAAGGUAUGAAAUUCUCGAAGAAAGGGCGGGUGGCGAAAUCAUUCCAGCGGAUUCAGGUCACCAUGCAAUCAUUGAACUUCCCUACUGCUGGGCCUCGUUGACCGUAUUCAUUUGAUUUGUGUUAGAAUCAUAGUGUGAAAUAAAACGUGCUUCACCAAUA
Molecule: long non-coding RNA, 459 nt
Organism: Aedes aegypti (yellow fever mosquito)
Lineage: Eukaryota; Metazoa; Arthropoda; Insecta; Diptera; Culicidae
Exons: 2
Source: RefSeq, a predicted model, not a curated record